CUUAAGUAACGUAAAUAACAUUUAAACUUUACAAUAGCGCUCAGGAACUUGUAAAUUUAAUUUUAAUAUCUAUAAGUAUGUACCACGCGCGCGCGAUAUGGUUUAAAUAUGGCGGCAACCUUCCCACCACUCGUUUUUUAGUUCGUUAUUUCCGCUGGUGCUCCAGGCGGCGCUGAAAAUAGCGUUCCCCUUCUCACAAGAGGUGAGUUUGAACCCCCUGUUUUAGCUUGUUAGGUUAAUCGACGCAAUAGCGUCCUAACGUUAAGUGAUUGGAAUUGUAAUAAUUUACUUUCGACGUAUUUUUGAAUAGAUAAUAGAAAAAUAAGUGUCAUGAGAUUUCAGCUAUUACACAACAUAACCGUUAAUGUGCAUCAUUAUAUUAAUAUCCAAUAGGACGCUCGUUUUAGAUGAUCUGUGAUGUAACUUAACAUCUCAGUGAUAAUUACAAAAUAUUCGGCACAAUGAUGGCAACAGAUCGUAUCGAUACUACUCUGUCGUUUCCAAUAAAGAAAGAACAAGAUUGCAAUAACAGUCACGACGAUAGCGAUAUGAGCACUGAUGACAGUGAUGACAGUCCCUUUUCGAUGCCCUUGCCAUUGAUUUCUACAAAUAAUCCUGUCAUAAAUAGUGGAUCACUAUCACCCAACAGUGAGUCUAUAUGUAUUACUGAAAUGGUUCGUGCUGUAUAUUUGUCAUAUCUUCACAAAUGUUUACUUAGUAAUUAUAUAACUUAUUAUGGACAAAGCAAUAAAAAUGUACGAAAUAUUGAGGUAAAAAAAUGUGCAGAUCAUAUGGAACUAAAAGCUAUCCACUUUGCAUUAGAAUCCAGUUUAUAUAGAAAAAACAUGCUGAAAAUGAUUACGGAUAUAAAAUCGCACACUGUUGAGAAGAAAAUAUACAAAAAGUUAUUAAUAUUUUUAGAAGCACCUAAGGACAAAAUUGAUAUCGCUGUGCAAACAGAUGAUAGAUUGGUGGAUUCACAUGGAACAGAUAAUAUACAAAGUGUGUGUAUUACAUCUAACUCUGAGGAAAUGUUGCAAGAAACAUCACCCAUUGUAAAUUCUACCAAUUUUGUUGAAAACGAAAAUGUCACACAGGAACUUGACAAUGAGAUGGAUAUACAAAUGUCUCACAAUGAAGAUGGAUAUACAAAUGUCUCACAAUGAAGAUCUUGUGAAAGAAAUAUUUAAUGAUUCUAGUCAAAUAAUUGAGAAUAGGAAUGAUUCUCAAGCGAUGAUUAACGCAAUUGCAAUAAAAAAUGAUGACAAUUCACAAGAUUCGAUAUUACAACAUAUGGAGGAUAUGUUUUGUGAGAGCGACGAUAGCAGCGAUCUUACGAAAUUAAUAGAAAAGUAUUCUGGUGUUAAUAAAGCUAAUGUUGAUAAAGAAAUCAAUGAUAUAUAUUUAAAUGCCGAUACUAUCGCGAGUCUGCAUGUAUCACAAGAUAACAAAAUAUCGAAUAUAACUAAUAAUGUAUCUAACGCGGCAAAAAGAAAUACGAGUGAGGGUAAAGUCAGUUACAGUCGCUAUAAAGAAAUGCGAAAUAAGAGAAUCAAUAAACCAGAGGAAUUGAAUGAGAACGAAAUAAUUGAUGUAAAAAGCUUAAAACAGAAAGAGAGGUUAAAUGCUGUUUGGCUGGUAGAACGUGUGCAUCAAGUAUCGAGACUGAAAGUGAUAAUGACUGAAUUAUCAUUGAGCGAUUACCGAAAGUACGGUAGGUUAAAGGAAAAAUUCCUUCAGCUAUUUGGAGAAUCUGACGAAGAGGAAAUGAUACCGGACUCACCAAUCUGUAUAGAAGAACAUUUAGCGGCAUGUAAAGAAAGAAUAGCACCUUGGAUUGUGAAGUACCUAAUGCCUUUCUAUAAAAAAAGGAGAAUUAAGGAUCGGCAACUUUUCAAAGCUGUCGCAAAAUAUAUCGCGGAUAUGCUCAUCAUAAAUAACACAUUUCCUGAACAAGAAUGUGUGAGCAAGUACAUAAACGACUACUUCAGGAACAAGAAAUAUAUUAAAACCAAGCAAGAUAUAUAAUGUAACGAGUUAUUGGUGUGAUUAUUGAUUCUGUUAUGUAAUACAAGCCAGUAAAAUGUAGGCAUCGUAUUCUGAUGUAAAUCUCUGUAUGGUGUAAGAUUCUGAGACAUUUGAUCUAUAGGUAUAUGUAGAUACACCGUAUAUAAAUAGACGUAUAUAAUUCCUGCCUAACAAUUAUGGCCGAGUAAAGACAAUGGCUACAUUCAGCAGAAAAGUUGCUUUGCAACUGUUGUAAGAUUCGCAAAUUUGAUUAAUGCGUGCUCUUGGACUCAGCUAAAUUUGAGAGCAUAUGCCAAUUAGAUUUACGAAUUUUACAACAGUUGUAAAGCAGCUUGAAUGCAACCAAUGUUUGCAAGUAGAAAACAGCUCACGGGAGAGAGAGGGGGAUAUUUUAACGUUUAGAGUUGGGACAUUGCGAAAAACAGACUUCUCCAUUUAACAAAAAAAAAAAAUUAGCGAAAAUAUAGAGACAUAUAACGACAAUUUUUAUUCAAUGUAAAUAUAUACGAGUGUGUUUGUGCAAAAUGUAAAGUUGCCAUAACAGUCACACUAUCAGAAAGUGCUUAUAUUCUAGCAUUUAAAAAUCUUACCUGCGACAGAAAUUAAAAUUUAUUGUUGUAACAAUGUAAUUAAUGUAGUAAAUAAUUAAAUGACUUGUGUUAUGAGUAAAGUCUCUCUAAUAAGGAGAAGUCACGUCGUGAAUUAGAGUUUGUGUCGCAAUAUGAAAUCGAGAUCCCCGGCAUACAAAUGUGAUCGGACAAAAUGACAAUGAGAUAUCAAGUACAAUUAAUAGUUUUACUGUUGACUUUAAUAAUAAUAGAUACAAUAUAGAACGAUAAUAAAACAAAAUGAUCACGAUACUAAUGAUGAUGGCAAUGACGAUGAUUAUAGUAAUAAUAUAAUAAUAAUAAUAAUAAUAAUAAUAAUGUACUAGAUAUUCUACAUAUGUAAAAUCAAGAAGUCAUAUACAAUAUGGAGAUUCACAAAGCACCAAACAAGUUCUGAAGUUGCACUUUUGCCAAGGCAAA
RNAcentral lists this small RNA (3056 nucleotides) under Harpegnathos saltator (Jerdon's jumping ant). RNAcentral's name for it is "uncharacterized LOC105191905". Lineage: Eukaryota; Metazoa; Arthropoda; Insecta; Hymenoptera; Formicidae. The record is from RNAcentral.